Molecule: transfer RNA, 84 nt
Filed under: Coprinellus micaceus
Lineage: Eukaryota; Fungi; Basidiomycota; Agaricomycetes; Agaricales; Psathyrellaceae
Rfam family: tRNA
About the family: Transfer RNA (tRNA) molecules are approximately 80 nucleotides in length. Their secondary structure includes four short double-helical elements and three loops (D, anti-codon, and T loops).
Source: Rfam by way of RNAcentral
GCAUUAAUGGGGUAGUGGUAACCUGGGUCGUUGCCAUUCGAGUACUGACUCGACCCGCCGGGGGUUCGAUUCCCUCUUAAUGCA